AGGCAGCGAUGACUAGUUUAUAUACCAUCAAACUGUGAAAGCUUAUUCGAGCUUGUUGAUGCCAUCUAUAUUCUCUGAGCCU
This 82-nucleotide small nucleolar RNA is filed under the name Phaseolus vulgaris (common bean). RNAcentral describes it as "snoRNA snoR116". It matches the Rfam family "small nucleolar RNA snoR116". Lineage: Eukaryota; Viridiplantae; Streptophyta; Magnoliopsida; Fabales; Fabaceae. The record is from Rfam by way of RNAcentral.